RNAcentral lists this microRNA precursor (105 nucleotides) under Myotis lucifugus (little brown bat). RNAcentral describes it as "miRNA (ENSMLUG00000026659.1)". The record is from RNAcentral. Lineage: Eukaryota; Metazoa; Chordata; Mammalia; Chiroptera; Vespertilionidae.
CUUCAACUGUGUUUCUUAUAGUAUUUGUGUGUGUGUGUGUGUGUGUGUGUGUGUGCACACACACAUACACACACACACACACAUAUAUAUAUACACACACAUAUA